CAGACCAAAAGCUGACAUAGAUGGUAUGGGUCAAUUUUUUUUUGUUGAUGUCUUCCAUCUCUUAACUUAUUCCAUAAAGGAGCCGAAUGAAAC
Molecule: transfer RNA, 93 nt
Filed under: Genista cilentina
Lineage: Eukaryota; Viridiplantae; Streptophyta; Magnoliopsida; Fabales; Fabaceae
Description: transfer RNA-Gly
Source: RNAcentral